Molecule: ribosomal RNA, 467 nt
Filed under: uncultured bacterium
Lineage: Bacteria
Description: partial 16S ribosomal RNA
Rfam family: Bacterial small subunit ribosomal RNA
Source: RNAcentral
GAUGAACGCUGACAGCAUGCUUAACACAUGCAAGUCAACUUGAAUUUGGGUUUUUAACUUAGGUUUGGGUGGCGGACGGGUGAGUAACGCGUAAAGAACUUGCCUCCCAGCUAGGGACAACACUUGGAAACGAAUGCUAAUACCUAAUAUUAUGAUAAUAGGGCAUCCUAUAGUUAUGAAAGCUAUAAGCGCUGUGAGAGAGCUUUGCGUCCCAUUAGCUAGUUGGAGAGGUAACGGCUCACCAAGGCGAUGAUGGGUAGCCGGCCUGAGAGGGUGAUCGGCCACAAGGGGACUGAGACACGGCCCUUACUCCUCCGGGAGGCAGCAGUGGGGAAUAUUGGACAAUGGACCGAGAGUCUGAUCCAGAAAUUCUGUGUGCACGAUGAAGUUUUUCGGAAUGUAAAGUGCUUUCAGUUGGGAAGAAACGAAUGACGGUACCAACAGAAGAAGUGACGGCUAAAUACGUG